RNAcentral lists this transfer RNA (67 nucleotides) under Encyrtus infelix. RNAcentral describes it as "tRNA-Glu". The record is from RNAcentral. Lineage: Eukaryota; Metazoa; Arthropoda; Insecta; Hymenoptera; Encyrtidae.
AUUUAUAUAGUUUAAAAAAAACAUUAUAUUUUCAAUAUAAAAAUAAUAGCCAUAAAAUUUAUAAAUU